AGCAGCCGCGGUAAUUCCAGCUCCAAUAGCGUAUAUUAAAGUUGUUGCAGUUAAAAAGCUCGUAGUUGAAUUUCGGGGUUAGUAGGUUGGUCAUGCCUCUGGUAUGUACUGGUCUCACUGAUUCCUCCUUCCUGAUGAGCCGUAAUGCCAUUAAUUUGGUGUUGCGGGGAAUUUGGACUGUUACUUUGAAAAAAUUAGAGUGUUUAAAGCAAGCUAACGCUUGAAUACAUUAGCAUGGAAUAAUGAAAUAGGACGUUCGAUCCUAUUUUGUUGGUUUCUAGGAUUGACGUAAUGAUUAAUAGGGAUAGUUGGGGGCAUUAGUAUUCAAUUGUCAGAGGUGAAAUUCUUGGAUUUAUUGAAGACUAACUACUGCGAAAGCAUUUGCCAAGGAUGUUUUCAUUAAUCAAGAACGAAAGUUAGGGGAUCGAAGACGAUCAGAUACCGUCGUAGUCUUAACCAUAAACCUAUGCCGACUAGGGAUCGGAUGAUGUUAAUUUUUUAAUGACUCA
This 509-nucleotide ribosomal RNA is filed under the name uncultured Glomus. Its description in RNAcentral is "SSU rRNA". It matches the Rfam family "Eukaryotic small subunit ribosomal RNA", at positions 569 to 1078 of the family's 1831-position model. Lineage: Eukaryota; Fungi; Glomeromycota; Glomeromycetes; Glomerales; Glomeraceae. The record is from RNAcentral.